GGCUUCAUAGCUCAGUGGUAGAGCAUUGACGUACUGGUAUCGCAAAGGUAAUGGGUAUGAAUCCCAUUGAAGCCU
Molecule: non-coding RNA, 75 nt
Organism: Desmophyllum pertusum
Lineage: Eukaryota; Metazoa; Cnidaria; Anthozoa; Scleractinia; Caryophylliidae
Source: the annotation of a GenBank genome assembly